RNAcentral lists this ribosomal RNA (228 nucleotides) under uncultured bacterium. Its description in RNAcentral is "partial 16S ribosomal RNA". It matches the Rfam family "Bacterial small subunit ribosomal RNA", at positions 568 to 795 of the family's 1533-position model. The record is from RNAcentral.
UCCGUAGGCGGACUAAUAAGUCAGGGGUGAAAUCCCACAGCUUAACUGUGGAACUGCCUUUGAUACUGUUAGUCUUGAGUUAUAUGGAAGUAGAUAGAAUGUGUAGUGUAGCGGUGAAAUGCAUAGAUAUUACACGGAAUACCGAUUGCGAAGGCAGUCUACUACGUAUAUACUGACGCUAAUGGACGAAAGCGUGGGGAGCGAACAGGAUUAGAUACCCUGGUAGUC